GGGAGCAUCUGGGGUAUCCCAUGACGUCACACACGGUAGCCCGGCUGCAGAGCAGAGGGCCCCUGAUGGGGAGGUAGGGGGCGCCACUGCACACGACGCCUCUGUGAGACCAAAGGAGCCCCGACCCAAUGCCGCCCUUGUUCCCAGAGACCAUCAUCGCCCAAACGCGACGCUGACGCCAGUGCAGGCCCAGGACCCACAUUUCCGCGCGCCGACCCCCAUCCCUCCCGCCCACCAGCCAAUCAGCAACCAGCACCACCAGCCAAUCACCAACCAGCACCACCAGCCAAUCAGCAACCAGUAUCGCCGUCACUCCAGGGACGACGACAAACACCAGGCCUCCGGCCAAAAGCCGCAGCACACAGAAAAGAGUAAAAAGUAGACCGAGUUUUAACUGUUAUCAGUACAAUUAACUUUUGUGCAGUAUAGUCAUUUUCAAAACCGAAAAUAUACAGAUUUUUGUGCCUCAAACUAAACCAAACCAUUGUUAUUUUUAAAAGUUUCUUGGGGACAUACUUGAAGAAAGGUGUACUCUUUUCCCUUACUUUCAGACAAGCCUCCCUUUACCAUACGUUCCCGGUGUAAUAAUGAAUGGAAUAAAAAAAAAACAUGCUUUGAGCUAAGACUCGAUAUCUUAUUGAAUGUUACAUAAGGUCACACUGACUCGAUUUUAUGAAUUUUACGUCCACUCGACACUCCAAUAUUAAUGCGACCAUACGCAAAUAAAAACGCCAUGAGAUGAAAAUACAUGUGUGCCUAACUCCUUUGAAGAAAGGGAUCGGGAAUGUUGUAGAAAGAAGUAAACACACACUGUAUGG
This is a long non-coding RNA of Branchiostoma floridae (Florida lancelet), 818 nucleotides long. RefSeq lists it as uncharacterized. NCBI's taxonomy places the organism in Eukaryota, Metazoa, Chordata, Leptocardii, Amphioxiformes, Branchiostomatidae. The record is from RefSeq and is a predicted model, not a curated record. The transcript is spliced from 3 exons.